UGUCCAAAUACAGUGGUGCUGAAGCUCUUGCUAGCUUUUCGUUUAUUCUUUUUGUUUUAUCCUGGAUUAUACUUCGCCUCAUAUACUACCCGUUCUGGGUUCUUUGGAGUACAAGUUAUGAAGUUCUCCAAACCCUGGAUAAGGAGAAGCACAAAGUGGAUGGACCAAUCUAUUACUAUAUCUUCAAUUCUCUUCUAUUUUGCUUGCUGGUUCUUCAUAUAUAUUGGUGGGUGUUGAUAUACCGGAUGCUUGUUAAACAAAUCCAAGCGAGGGGCCAAUUGAGCGACGACGUUCGUUCUGAUUCUGAAGAUGAACAUGA
This 319-nucleotide unclassified non-coding RNA is filed under the name Hevea brasiliensis (rubber tree). Lineage: Eukaryota; Viridiplantae; Streptophyta; Magnoliopsida; Malpighiales; Euphorbiaceae. The record is from RNAcentral.